UACAGAGACUGCAAGCGUUAUUCGGAUUCACUGGGCGUAAAGGGUGCGCAGGCGGCCAAGUGUGUGAGGCGUGAAAGCCCGGGGCUUAACCCCGGAAUUGCACCUCAAACUACUUGGCUAGAGCAUUGGAGAGGGUAGCAGAAUUCACGGUGUAGCAGUGAAAUGCGUAGAUAUCAUGAGGAAUACCAGAGGCGAAGGCGGCUACCUGGACAAUUGCUGACGCUCAGGCACGAAAGCGUGGGGAGCAAAAGGG
Molecule: ribosomal RNA, 253 nt
Filed under: uncultured bacterium
Lineage: Bacteria
Description: partial 16S ribosomal RNA
Rfam family: Bacterial small subunit ribosomal RNA
Source: RNAcentral